UACGUAGGCAGCGAGCGUUGUUCGGAAUUACUGGGCGUAAAGAGUGUGUAGGCGGUGCUCUAAGUUCGGUGUGAAAUCUCCCGCUUAACUGGGAGGGUGCGCCGGAAACUGGAGUGCUCGAGCGUGGGAGAGGAAAGCGGAAUUCCUGGUGUAGCGGUGAAAUGCGUAGAUAUCAGGAGGAACACCUGCGGUGUAGACGGCUUUCUGGACCAUUGCUGACGCUGAGACACGAAAGCGUGGGGAUCAAACAGG
This 252-nucleotide ribosomal RNA is filed under the name uncultured bacterium. RNAcentral describes it as "partial 16S ribosomal RNA". It matches the Rfam family "Bacterial small subunit ribosomal RNA", at positions 524 to 776 of the family's 1533-position model. The record is from RNAcentral.